Non-coding RNA from Drosophila suzukii, 805 nucleotides. The record is from RefSeq and is a predicted model, not a curated record. Lineage: Eukaryota; Metazoa; Arthropoda; Insecta; Diptera; Drosophilidae.
CUCAGUCGAAGCGGGACUUCUUAAAGAGAACGGACGUCGUGGACGAGCGAUUUGUUCAUAAAUCUGACCAAAGCAAACACGAAUUAACACACAAGGAUUUACAUUAAAAUCAGUGCAUUGGAAGCAUUCCGUAAGGGCGACGCGGCCAUCUUUUUUUUCGCUCUCUAAUUCUCUUAUUGACCGAACUCUGCUUGAGCAGAGCUCAUUAGAAGCGGACUGCUUGAUGAAGACGAACGUAGCGGACGAAUAAUUUAUACUAAAAGCUCAACGAAACACAAAAGGAUUACAACACCAACACACACAAGGACUAAAAUUAACUCCGUGCAUUGGAAGCAUUCCGUAAGGGCGACGCGGCCAUCUUUUUUUUCGCUCUCUAAUUCUCUUAUUGACCGAACUCUGCUUGAGCAGAGCUCAUUAGAAGCGGACUGCUUGAUGAAGACGAACGUAGCGGACGAAUAAUUUAUACUAAAAGCUCAACGAAACACAAAAGGAUUACAACACCAACACACACAAGGACUAAAAUUAACUCCGUGCAUUGGAAGCAUUCCGUAAGGGCGACGCGGCCAUCUUUUUUUUCGCUCUCUAAUUCUCUUAUUGACCGAACUCUGCUUGAGCAGAGCUCAUUAGAAGCGGACUGCUUGAUGAAGACGAACGUAGCGGACGAAUAAUUUAUACUAAAAGCUCAACGAAACACAAAAGGAUUACAACACCAACACACACAAGGACUAAAAUUAACUCCGCGCCUUGGCUCAAAGAUGGGAUGCCUUGACCGACUUACAACCGAAACUGACGAUCCAUAUCACUU